Dreissena polymorpha is the source of this 202-nucleotide long non-coding RNA. RefSeq lists it as uncharacterized. The transcript has 3 exons. Lineage: Eukaryota; Metazoa; Mollusca; Bivalvia; Myida; Dreissenidae. The record is from RefSeq and is a predicted model, not a curated record.
AAGGUUGUGCAAGAUUUACACGGCUACUCACUGAAGCCUCUGAAGUCCUCGUCAGGUGAUCAUUUCCCGAUGUGUGACUGGUUCUGCUGGCGGUGGCCACUUCCGGUCGGCGGUGAAGAUGUCAAAGACGUUAUUGACGAAUCCGGGGUUGUCGUUCUUACAGACGCUACAGUGUACGAAUAUAUUCCUGAACCAGUACCAA